GGGGGCAUCUCCAGAGCUGCCCUGCGGUGCUUUCUCUGUGUCCAGCUGCAGAGAUGGUGAGUUGAUGCCCAGAAAGGAGAAGGAGCUUGCCCAAGGUCACAUAGCAGAGGAGGAGGGCACUUCUGGCAGUGAGGGAGAAGAAUCACC
Molecule: long non-coding RNA, 147 nt
Organism: Choloepus didactylus (southern two-toed sloth)
Lineage: Eukaryota; Metazoa; Chordata; Mammalia; Pilosa; Megalonychidae
Exons: 3
Source: RefSeq, a predicted model, not a curated record